AUGUACCACGCCUACACUCCGUUUCCUCCGCGCCUCCACACCCGCCUGGCGACCUCGCUACGUUCUGUUAGCC
This 73-nucleotide small RNA is filed under the name Xanthomonas hortorum. RNAcentral describes it as "sX9 sRNA". It matches the Rfam family "Xanthomonas sRNA sX9". Lineage: Bacteria; Pseudomonadati; Pseudomonadota; Gammaproteobacteria; Lysobacterales; Lysobacteraceae. RNAcentral also lists the same sequence under 4 other names. The record is from RNAcentral.